AGAAUCAACGCUGGCGGCGUGCCUAACACAUGCAAGUCGAACGAGAAAGUGGAGCAAUCCAUGAGUAAAGUGGCGCACGGGUGAGUAACACGUGACUAACCUACCCUUGAGUGGGGAAUAACUUCGGGAAACCGAGGCUAAUACCGCAUAACACCUACGGGUCAAAGGAGCAAUUCGCUUAAGGAGGGGGUCGCGGCAGAUUAGUUAGUUGGCAGGGUAAUGGCCUACCAAGACGGUGAUCUGUAUCCGGCCUGAGAGGGCGCACGGACACACUGGAACUGAAACACGGUCCAGACUCCUACGGGAGGCAGCAGUGGGGAAUUUUGCGCAAUGGGGGAAACCCUGACGCAGCAACGCCGCGUGGAGGAUGAAGUCCCUUGGGACGUAAACUCCUUUCGAUCGGGACGAUUAUGACGGUACCGGAAGAAGAAGCCCCGGCUAACUUCGUGCCAGCAGCCGC
Molecule: ribosomal RNA, 460 nt
Filed under: uncultured bacterium
Lineage: Bacteria
Description: SSU rRNA
Rfam family: Bacterial small subunit ribosomal RNA
Source: RNAcentral